RNA transcript from Oreochromis niloticus (Nile tilapia), 1669 nucleotides. It is a transcript of the gene named SPO11 initiator of meiotic double stranded breaks, with no coding region annotated. Lineage: Eukaryota; Metazoa; Chordata; Actinopteri; Cichliformes; Cichlidae. The transcript is spliced from 14 exons. The record is from RefSeq and is a predicted model, not a curated record.
CUACGUGAUCGACACAAAACGCGCGAGAUUUCCGUAAAACAUCCUUACGCGGGAAUUUCAUGCAGGUAGAUAAAAUGACAUCUAGUAACAGGUAACGUGAUGGAAUCCCGUGCGGCUCAUUUUUUUUCCGAAAUUGAUCAGCUCCGUGCAAAACUGUUGAACAACGUGGGAGUCAUGACAGACUGGCAGCGUGCUGAAAAAGAAAUCAACCAUAUUUCUAUGUCCAGCCAGGAAAUUUUAAACCGAAUUGAAAGCAUAAUCCUGGAAAUAGUCACCAGUCUGUCCAAAGCUGAGGCCCCUGUCCUGGCGCUGCCCAACAGAUCCAGCUGGGCCAACGUAAGCUUUGACAGUGCCAUUGGGCUUCAGAUGAGUUCAAGACAGUCUGUCACCACCAUUAGGAGCGACUGCCCUUCAUCUGUCACUAAAUUUGCCCAGAUUCUCAAGAUUCUCUCAGUCAUCUACAGGCUUGUCCAGAGCAACUCAUAUGCUACAAAAAGAGACAUCUAUUACAACAACACAAAGCUCUUUGGUUCACAGAAAGCUGUUGAUAGCAUCGUAGAUGACAUCUCCUGCAUGCUAAAGGUUCCUCGCAGAUCACUACAUGUGUUGGCCACAUCCAAGGGAUUGAUCUCAGGUGACCUGUGUUAUAUGGAGGAGGACGGCACGAGGAUUGACUGCAACUCCAGCUCAACUGCCGUCUCAGUUUCAUCGAACAUCAGUGGAAUUAAAAAUAUUGUAUCAUCUGCAAAAUUUGUCAUGAUCAUCGAGAAGGAUGCGACGUUCCAGAGACUGCUGGAUGAUGACUUCUGCACAAAGCUCUCCCCUUGCAUCAUUAUCACAGGUAAAGGUGUGCCAGAUGUGAACAGCAGGCUGAUGGUGAAAAGGCUUUGGGAUGAGCUGCACAUCCCCAUCUUUGCCCUCGUGGAUGCUGAUCCUCAUGCUGGGUUGCAUGUCUCGCUAAGCCAACAAAAGUUAGCACCUGUCCACUGCGUCAUGGUGCCUAGUCUAGCUAUUAUUCCUGUUGGUGUGAUGUCGUCCAGGGGGAGUUGGCUCGGUUUCCAUCGGCCUCCAUACCACUAAGCUUUUUUGCUGCUGCGUGGCGAGACACAUAUGCAUUGAAAUCAUGUGCAUCUACAAGUAUGGAUCAGUGGCAAUGUCGUUUGAGGCCCACAGUCUGACCGUCCCCAGCGUUAUGUGGCUAGGCCUCCUCCCCUCUGACCUACAGAGGUUGCGGGUUCCCAAGGACGCUCUGAUCCCACUUACCAAGAGAGAUGAAAGCAAACUCUGCAGCCUCCUUGAAAGGCCGUACUUAACCAGCCAACCAGAGUGGGAGAAAGAGAUGAAACUGAUGCAGCAAAAUAAAGUAAAGGCUGAAAUACAGUCUUUGACAGCUAUAGCUCCUGACUUCCUCACACAAAUCUACCUGCCCAACAAGCUGCGCUAUGGAGGCUGGAUAUGAGCUCAAUGCUGCCACUUAGUGGAUGAGUAAGUGAACUGCUAAAGUUGCUUUGAAGCCUGAAGAGUGGUAUUAGAUGGAAAUUGUCAGACAAAUUAAAGUAUUAACUUCAGUUUGUUAGUUUGUAGUGUUUGGAUAUUUAUUCACCUUUCUUUGUGUAUAUUGGAUGCAGUUGUUUUAGAAGUGUAAUUAAAACCUCCAUGAUCCCACUGA